Molecule: transfer RNA, 89 nt
Filed under: Natranaerobius thermophilus JW/NM-WN-LF
Lineage: Bacteria; Bacillati; Bacillota; Clostridia; Natranaerobiales; Natranaerobiaceae
Rfam family: tRNA
About the family: Transfer RNA (tRNA) molecules are approximately 80 nucleotides in length. Their secondary structure includes four short double-helical elements and three loops (D, anti-codon, and T loops).
Source: Rfam by way of RNAcentral
GGAGAGAUGGCCGAGUCUGGCUUAAGGCGCUCGACUCGAAAUCGAGUAAGCAGUUGCCUGCUUCCUGGGUUCAAAUCCCAGUCUCUCCG